GUGGAUUAGAUACCCUGGUAGUCCACGCCGUAAACGAUGAUAACUAGCUGUCCGGGUUCAUAGAACUUGGGUGGCGCAGCUAACGCAUUAAGUUAUCCGCCUGGGGAGUACGGUCGCAAGAUUAAAACUCAAAGGAAUUGACGGGGGCCUGCACAAGCGGUGGAGCAUGUGGUUUAAUUCGAAGCAACGCGCAGAACCUUACCAGCGUUUGACAUCCUGAUCGCGGAUAGUGGAGACACUUUCCUUCAGUUCGGCUGGAUCAGUGACAGGUGCUGCACGGCCGUCGCCAGCU
RNAcentral lists this ribosomal RNA (292 nucleotides) under uncultured bacterium. RNAcentral describes it as "partial 16S ribosomal RNA". It matches the Rfam family "Bacterial small subunit ribosomal RNA", at positions 773 to 1060 of the family's 1533-position model. The record is from RNAcentral.